CAUCCCGACUUACCAACCCGAUGCAAACUACGAAUACCGAAGAAUGUUAUCACGGGAGACACACGGCGGGUGCUAACGUCCGUCGUGAAGAGGGAAACAACCCAGACCGCCAGCUAAGGUCCCAAAGUCAUGGUUAAGUGGGAAACGAUGUGGGAAGGCACAGACAGCCAGGAUGUUGGCUUAGAAGCAGCCAUCAUUUAAAGAAAGCGUAAUAGCUCACUGGUCGAGUCGGCCUGCGCGGAAGAUGUAACGGGGCUAAACCAUGCACCGAAGCUGCGGCAGCGACGCUAUGCGUUGUUGGGUAGGGGAGCGUUCUGUAAGCCUGCGAAGGUGGCCUGUGAGGGUUGCUGGAGGUAUCAGAAGUGCGAAUGCUGACAUAAGUAACGAUAAAGCGGGUGAAAAGCCCGCUCGCCGGAAGACCAAGGGUUCCUGUCCAACGUUAAUCGGGGCAGGGUGAGUCGACCCCUAAGGCGAGGCCGAAAGGCGUAGUCGAUGGGAAACAGGUUAAUAUUCCUGUACUUGGUGUUACUGCGAAGGGGGGACGGAGAAGGCUAUGUUAGCCGGGCGACGGUUGUCCCGGUUUAAGCAUGUAGGCGGAGGUUCCAGGUAAAUCCGGUACCUUUUAACGCUGAGGUGUGAUGACGAGGCACUACGGUGCUGAAGUAACAAAUGCCCUGCUUCCAGGAAAAGCCUCUAAGCAUCAGGUAACAUUAAAUCGUACCCCAAACCGACACAGGUGGUCAGGUAGAGAAUACCAAGGCGCUUGAGAGAACUCGGGUGAAGGAACUAGGCAAAAUGGUGCCGUAACUUCGGGAGAAGGCACGCUGGUGUGUAGGUGAAGUCCCUGCGGACGGAGCUGAGACCAGUCGAAGAUACCAGCUGGCUGCAACUGUUUAUUAAAAACACAGCACUGUGCAAACACGAAAGUGGACGUAUACGGUGUGACGCCUGCCCGGUGCCGGAAGGUUAAUUGAUGGGGUUAUCCGUAAGGAGAAGCUCUUGAUCGAAGCCCCGGUAAACGGCGGCCGUAACUAUAACGGUCCUAAGGUAGCGAAAUUCCUUGUCGGGUAAGUUCCGACCUGCACGAAUGGCGUAAUGAUGGCCAGGCUGUCUCCACCCGAGACUCAGUGAAAUUGAACUCGCUGUGAAGAUGCAGUGUACCCGCGGCAAGACGGAAAGACCCCGUGAACCUUUACUAUAGCUUGACACUGAACAUUGAGCCUUGAUGUGUAGGAUAGGUGGGAGGCUUUGAAGCGUGGACGCCAGUCUGCGUGGAGCCAACCUUGAAAUACCACCCUUUAAUGUUUGAUGUUCUAACGUAGGCCCCUGACCGGGGUUGCGGACAGUGUCUGGUGGGUAGUUUGACUGGGGCGGUCUCCUCCCAAAGAGUAACGGAGGAGCACGAAGGUUAGCUAAUCCUGGUCGGACAUCAGGAGGUUAGUGCAAUGGCAUAAGCUAGCUUGACUGCGAGCGUGACGGCGCGAGCAGGUGCGAAAGCAGGUCAUAGUGAUCCGGUGGUUCUGAAUGGAAGGGCCAUCGCUCAACGGAUAAAAGGUACUCCGGGGAUAACAGGCUGAUACCGCCCAAGAGUUCAUAUCGACGGCGGUGUUUGGCACCUCGAUGUCGGCUCAUCACAUCCUGGGGCUGAAGUAGGUCCCAAGGGUAUGGCUGUUCGCCAUUUAAAGUGGUACGCGAGCUGGGUUUAGAACGUCGUGAGACAGUUCGGUCCCUAUCUGCCGUGGGCGCUGGAGAAUUGAGGGGGGCUGCUCCUAGUACGAGAGGACCGGAGUGGACGCAUCACUGGUGUUCGGGUUGUCAUGCCAAUGGCACUGCCCGGUAGCUAAAUGCGGAAGAGAUAAGUGCUGAAAGCAUCUAAGCACGAAACUUGCCCCGAGAUGAGUUCUCCCUGAGACUUUAAGUCUCCUGAAGGAACGUUGAAGACGACGACGUUGAUAGGCCGGGUGUGUAAGCGCAGCGAUGCGUUGAGCUAACCGGUACUAAUGAACCGUGAGGCUUAACCUUACAACGCCGAAG
RNAcentral lists this ribosomal RNA (2034 nucleotides) under Klebsiella variicola. Its description in RNAcentral is "partial 23S ribosomal RNA". It matches the Rfam family "Bacterial large subunit ribosomal RNA", at positions 928 to 2925 of the family's 2925-position model. Lineage: Bacteria; Pseudomonadati; Pseudomonadota; Gammaproteobacteria; Enterobacterales; Enterobacteriaceae. The record is from RNAcentral.